UACAGAGACUGCAAGCGUUAUUCGGAUUCACUGGGCGUAAAGCGCGCGCAGGCGGCGGUGCUGGCCCGGCGUGAAAGCCCCCGGCUCAACCGGGGAGGGUCGUCGGGGACCGCACCGCUUGAGGGCGGUAGGGGCUGGUGGAAUGCCUGGUGUAGUGGUGAAAUGCGUAGAGAUCAGGCGGAACACCCGUGGCGAAGGCGGCCAGCUGGGCCGUCCCUGACGCUGAGGCGCGAAGGCGUGGGGAGCGAACGGG
RNAcentral lists this ribosomal RNA (253 nucleotides) under uncultured bacterium. RNAcentral describes it as "partial 16S ribosomal RNA". It matches the Rfam family "Bacterial small subunit ribosomal RNA", at positions 524 to 776 of the family's 1533-position model. The record is from RNAcentral.